UUGAAGAACAUUUCCAUGGACUUGAAAGGUCCUUGAAAAGACGUUUUCAUGAGUUGGAAGACCAGGAAAAGGAGUACGAAACCAAAACCAGAAAAGCCCAAGAAGUAUUGGAGAAGCGGGAAGCUGCUGUUUUGGCCAAAGAACAAGCUUCAUUGGGGAGACUCCAAGAGAAAAGAGAUGCUGCUGUCUUUGCCAUUACUAAUGCUUUACAGAAGCACAGGAAGGUGUCGAUUGUGGAACCUGCUGUUGUGACUAGUGAUCUCCAAGGUGAGCUCUCAACAAUUGAAGACCAACCACCUGAAACCUUGGCUGCUGAAAGUAACUUGGGAGAGACUAAUAAUAAUGGAAAUGUG
Molecule: long non-coding RNA, 353 nt
Filed under: Jatropha curcas
Lineage: Eukaryota; Viridiplantae; Streptophyta; Magnoliopsida; Malpighiales; Euphorbiaceae
Description: long non-coding RNA (JCUR_LNC000293)
Source: RNAcentral